RNAcentral lists this microRNA (22 nucleotides) under Danio rerio (zebrafish). RNAcentral describes it as "dre-miR-725-5p". Its record names the gene dre-miR-725-5p. The record is from miRBase by way of RNAcentral. Lineage: Eukaryota; Metazoa; Chordata; Actinopteri; Cypriniformes; Danionidae.
UGCUAGGAAUGGUGGCUGAGAU